GACCUCACGUGGUGGAGCACGCUGGUGCCUCUUUGAUGAGGGCACUAAGUGCAUUGCUAACUACUUCUGAAAGCCGGCACCUCCAAAUACCCUCACAGUGAGGAUUAAGUUUCAACAUAUGAAUUUUGGGGCAACAUAAACAGAAAGUCCACAGCAGAUAUUAAGAAAAAGUUUAGUGUCUUCAUUUCUUUCUAACUAAUCUGUUAUUUGCUGUGAAUUCUCUACACGUAAGUAGUUUUCUGUAGCAGGCAUAGGAUGGGAGUUUUGGGGGACUUUGAAAGAGUCAACAGAAUCCACUGGAUUUAUUUUAAUGUUUUAUACACAAUCUCUGCUUGGAAAAUGCAAGGAAAUUUCGGUGUUUUUCCUAUGUGUUCCCUUUACCUGGUCCUGUGUUCAUGGAGUGGAAGAGUUGAAAAAGGCUGUUAAGAUAGAAAGAGAAUGUGGCAAUGAAGAAAACAGAGAAUCUUCAGACUGUUAAGAUAGAAAGAGAAUGUGGCAAUGAAGAAAAUAGAGAAUCUUCAGAUGCAUAAGGUGGCCUCUAGGUUCUCCUGGGCUGGUAGUCCUUAUUAGCAAUCUUUGCUGCUGCCUCAUCAUCCCUUGGCCCUUAUCUCUCAAUGUCUGCCAGGUUCUGCACUUGGAUUCUUGCCUGGGUUGCCUUCGGCCUCCAUUUCAACAGUGACUUUUACCUUUUGAGCCCUAGCACAUUUAUUGAGGUCUUCUUGGCUCUCAGUAUGGUUACGUCUAUUGACUCUAAAAAGCACGUGGAGAUUUCUGGGUCUCACUAUGCUGAAAGGAGAUGAAAGAUAUUCAAGAGUGUCAGCUAAUCCCUCUUCCCAGAUAACAAAGCUGAUCCUCUCUCUUUUCUUUACUGGAACCCACCGACAUGGGAGAAGAGCAUUGUGUGGAGUAUCUCCUUCAUAAAUCUCAGAUAUCCAGUGUCUGAAGACAUAUAAAAUACUUUUAUUACAGGUUUGAAAUUUGCACAAGUCAGAUUAAGACAUCUGCCUAGAUUCUUGCUUUUAUAUAUGUGGCUUACUUCCAUAAAAUCCUGGGACCAGGACAGGUGGUGUUUCCUUCUUUUCUUUCACUGUCUGGUUGGGAAUUCCCUUAUGCUAAACUCUGUCUAUGAUCAGGUCCUCAAAGCUUAGCUCUUGAUACGAUAAACGCAAAGAAUAGGAAUAUAGGAAAUAAUUUUUUUCUAAGCUUUAUAUUCAAAAGCUAAGUAAUUUUCUAUUCUUCACUAUCUUGCAAAAAAAUCCAUUCAUGCAUAUAAUUAAUGAAUUCUUUAAGAUAUUUAAGAACACAAAGGAUGAGUUCAAUGUUAAUUUGUAUAUACGUAUAUACCUAUAUACAUAUAUAUGUGUAUUUCAAGAUAUUUCCUUUGGUACAUUAAUAUGUAGAGAGAGCAGAAUUCUCAGCUGCUACAUAUUUUUGGGGGGAACAUGAUCACGUUUAAAGAAAACUUGUCAAAAAUGUUAAAAAAGGGAAAAAAUGUUGUAGAAGCUUGCUAGUGGCAAAUAAACGGAGGCAAUCCGUAAGGGAAAGGCUCCCUCAUGCAAUAUCCCUAAUGAUCACUUUGCUGGGCUUUACAAGAGUGAUUCUUUUUAGGAGAAAAUUCCCACAAAUUUUGUUAGAAUCUUAAAGUAACUGAAAAAACAGUUUUACAAAUUCUGCUCUAAAUUGCUUAAUCUUCUAGCUCCUUGCCAAGGGGUAAUUUGGGGGAAAUAGCUAUGGGAUAUCCAUAUUGGAAUAUCCAUAUUUUGUACCCCUUAUCUGAAAGAUGGUAAAGCAUUUGCCUAUAAAAAUAAAGGAGGAACUUAGAAUUAUAAGGAAAAAAACCCUUAGCCACCAUCUCUGUCAAAUAUGAUAUACUAUGUUCUAUAUUUGAGAUUUUCUUAGCCAAGUAGAAUUUUAAUUUUGAUUUUUGCAUGAGAAUGCUUCUUUUCAAGUACUAGUUAUACCACUUAUUAUUAGAGACAAGUCACUUACUCUUUCUGAGUCUCAAUACCUGUGUCUCUGAAAUGGCUCAGGUGGACAAUAUAUGAGACAGAUGGAAACAAUGUUUUAUUUUUGGAACACAAAUACCCAGUGUAUGUAUUAACAUUAAGGAUAUACUCAUCUGAAAAAAAUCUGUUUUGUGAGCGUUUGUAGAGACUUCUAUAGAGAGAAUUCUAUAUUUUUAAUUGGUAAAUAAACAAGCUACUGAGCUC
Long non-coding RNA from Equus asinus (donkey), 2210 nucleotides. NCBI's taxonomy places the organism in Eukaryota, Metazoa, Chordata, Mammalia, Perissodactyla, Equidae. The record is from Ensembl.